UACAUCCUGCGGUGCUCGUUAUGGCUUAACGUGUUUUGAACCAAUGGCUGUUUCACGGGAGUUCAACAUCGGCGGGCGGCUGACAUGCCUUCAUUUUAUGGAGGAUCUCAAAACCCUUCCUGAGGACACCCACCUGCGAGAGCGGGUUCAGAAACAAGCAAGCCAGACGGCACUGCGGGACUAUA
This is a non-coding RNA of Paenibacillus sp. D9, 185 nucleotides long. It matches the Rfam family "6S / SsrS RNA". From Rfam's summary of the family: E. coli 6S RNA was the first non coding RNA to be sequenced, but its function was unknown until recently. It consists of 184 nucleotides that fold into an extended hairpin structure with a large single-stranded internal bulge. The 6S RNA specifically associates with RNA polymerase holoenzyme containing the sigma70 specificity factor. Lineage: Bacteria; Bacillati; Bacillota; Bacilli; Caryophanales; Paenibacillaceae. The record is from Rfam.